Molecule: ribosomal RNA, 408 nt
Filed under: uncultured Gemmata sp.
Lineage: Bacteria; Pseudomonadati; Planctomycetota; Planctomycetia; Gemmatales; Gemmataceae
Description: bacterial SSU rRNA
Rfam family: Bacterial small subunit ribosomal RNA
Source: RNAcentral
UCGAGGAUCUUCGGCAAUGGGGGCAACCCUGACCGAGCGAUGCCGCGUGCGCGAUGAAGGCCUUCGGGUUGUAAAGCGCGAAAGUGGGGAGAAAAGCCGCAAGGUGUGAUCUAUCCACAGUAAGCUCGGGCUAAGUUCGUGCCAGCAGCCGCGGUAAGACGAACCGAGCGAACGUUGUUCGGAAUCACUGGGCUUAAAGGGCGCGUAGGCGGGCUGUCAAGUUUGGGGUGAAAUCCCGCGGCUCAACCGUGGAACUGCCUCAAAUACUGACGGUCUCGAGGGGGAUAGGGGCGAGCGGAACUAAUGGUGGAGCGGUGAAAUGCGUUGAUAUCAUUAGGAACUCCGGUGGCGAAGGCGGCUCGCUGGAUCUCAUCUGACGCUGAGGCGCGAAAGCUAGGGGAGCAAACG